RNAcentral lists this ribosomal RNA (761 nucleotides) under uncultured bacterium. RNAcentral's name for it is "bacterial SSU rRNA". It matches the Rfam family "Bacterial small subunit ribosomal RNA", at positions 97 to 858 of the family's 1533-position model. The record is from RNAcentral.
GGCGCACGGGUGCGUAACGCGUAUGCAACCUACCUUUAACUGGAAGAUAGCCCCGAGAAAUCGGGAUUAAUACUCCAUAAAAUUAUGAAGUGGCAUCUCUUUAUAAUUAAAGCUCCGGCGGUUUUAGAUGGGCAUGCGUGACAUUAGCUAGUUGGUGAGGUAACGGCUCACCAAGGCGACGAUGUCUAGGGGUUCUGAGAGGAUUUUCCCCCACACUGGUACUGAGACACGGACCAGACUCCUACGGGAGGCAGCAGUAAGGAAUAUUGGGCAAUGGGCGCAAGCCUGACCCAGCCAUGCCGCGUGAAGGAUGACGGCCCUAUGGGUUGUAAACUUCUUUUGUACGGGAAAAAACCCCCGGUCGUGAACCGGGGUUGAUGGUACCGUAAGAAUAAGCAUCGGCUAACUCCGUGCCAGCAGCCGCGGUAAUACGGAGGAUGCAAGCGUUAUCCGGAUUCAUUGGGUUUAAAGGGUGCGCAGGCGGAAUGAUAAGUCAGUGGUGAAAUCCUACGGCUCAACUGUAGAACUGCCAUUGAUACUGUCCUUCCUGAGUACACUUGAAGUGGGCGGAAUGUGUCAUGUAGCGGUGAAAUGCUUAGAUAUGACACAGAACACCGAUCGCGAAGGCAGCUCACUAAAUUUGUAACUGACGCUCAUGCACGAAAGCGUGUGGAUCAAACAGGAUUAGAUACCCUGGUAGUCCACGCUGUAACGAUGAUCACUCGAUGUUGGCGAUAUACUGUCAGCGUCUAAGCGAAAGC